CUUGAACUCACUAUGUAGACCAGGUUGGUCUUAACUUCCAGAGAUCUUCCUGCCUCUGCCUCCUGAGUCCUGGGAU
Molecule: microRNA precursor, 76 nt
Filed under: Octodon degus (degu)
Lineage: Eukaryota; Metazoa; Chordata; Mammalia; Rodentia; Octodontidae
Description: miRNA (ENSODEG00000022262.1)
Source: RNAcentral